GCUCAGGUAACACGUGGACAACCUACCCUAUGGAGGGGCUAACCCCGGGAAACUGGGGAUAAUACCCCAUAGACUAUAGAUGCUGGAAUGCUUUGUAGUUGAAAGGUCCGCCGCCAUAGGAUGGGUCUGCGGCCGAUUAGGUUGUUGUUGGGGUAACGGCCCAACAAGCCUGUAAUCGGUACGGGUUGUGGGAGCAAGAGCCCGGAGAUGGAUUCUGAGACACGAAUCCAGGCCCUACGGGGCGCAGCAGGCGCGAAAACUUUACAAUGCGGGAAACCGUGAUAAGGGAACUCCGAGUGCCCGUAAAAUCGGGCUGUCCAUCUGUUUAAAUAACAGGUGAAGAAAGGGCCGGGCAAGACCGGUGCCAGCCGCCGCGGUAAUACCGGCGGCUCGAGUGGUGGCCACUAUUACUGGGCUUAAAGCGUUCGUAGCUGGUCUGUUAAGUCUCUGGGGAAAUCUACUGGCUUAACCAAUAGGCGUCUCAGGGAUACUGGCAGACUAGGGACCGGGAGAGGUGAGAGGUACUCCAGGGGUAGGAGUGAAAUCCUGUAAUCCUUGGGGGACCACCUGUGGCGAAGGCGUCUCACCAGAACGGCUCCGACAGUGAGGGACGAAAGCUGGGGGAGCAAACCGGAUUAGAUACCCGGGUAGUCCCAGCCGUAAACGAUGCGCGUUAGGUGUAUCGGUGACCACGAGUCACCGAGGUGCCGAAGAGAAAUCGUGAAACGUGCCGCCUGGGAAGUACGU
Molecule: ribosomal RNA, 747 nt
Filed under: uncultured archaeon
Lineage: Archaea
Description: bacterial SSU rRNA
Rfam family: Archaeal small subunit ribosomal RNA
Source: RNAcentral